This 245-nucleotide ribosomal RNA is filed under the name uncultured Legionella sp. RNAcentral describes it as "partial 16S ribosomal RNA". It matches the Rfam family "Bacterial small subunit ribosomal RNA", at positions 524 to 768 of the family's 1533-position model. Lineage: Bacteria; Pseudomonadati; Pseudomonadota; Gammaproteobacteria; Legionellales; Legionellaceae. The record is from RNAcentral.
UACAGAGGGUGCGAGCGUUGUUCGGAAUUACUGGGCGUAAAGGGUGCGUAGGUGGUUAAUUAAGUUAGAUGUGAAAUCCCUGGGCUUAACCUAGGAAUUGCAUAUAAUACUGGUUGACUAGAGUGUGAGAGAGGGAAGUGGAAUUUCCGGUGUAGCGGUGAAAUGCGUAGAUAUCGGAAGGAACAUCAGUGGCGAAGGCGGCUUCCUGGACUCAUACUAACGCUGAGGCGCGAAAGCGUGGGGAG